UCUCCGUUGGUGAACCAGCGGAGGGAUCAUUACCGAGUUCACAACUCCCAAACCACUGCGAACAUACCAUUUGUUGCCUCGGCGGUGCCUGCUUCGGCAGCCCGCCAGAGGACCCAAACCCUUGAUUUUAUACAGUACCUUCUGAGUAAAUGAUUAAAUAAAUCAAAACUUUCAACAACGGAUCUCUUGGUUCUG
RNAcentral lists this unclassified non-coding RNA (195 nucleotides) under plant metagenome. Its description in RNAcentral is "partial contains small subunit ribosomal RNA, internal transcribed spacer 1, and 5.8S ribosomal RNA". The record is from RNAcentral.